AACGAACGCUGGCGGCAGGCCUAACACAUGCAAGUCGAGCGAGGACUUCGGUUCUAGCGGCGGACGGGUGAGUAACGCGUGGGAAUGUGCCCUUCUCUACGGAAUAGCCCUGGGAAACUGGGAGUAAUACCGUAUACGCCCUAUUGGGGAAAGAUUUAUCGGAGAAGGAUCAGCCCGCGUUGGAUUAGGUAGUUGGUGUGGUAAUGGCCUACCAAGCCGACGAUCCAUAGCUGGUUUGAGAGGAUGAUCAGCCACACUGGGACUGAGACACGGCCCAGACUCCUACGGGAGGCAGCAGUGGGGAAUCUUAGACAAUGGGGGCAACCCUGAUCUAGCCAUGCCGCGUGAGUGAUGAAGGCCUUAGGGUUGUAAAGCUCUUUCAGCUGGGAAGAUAAUGACGGUACCAGCAGAAGAAGCCCCGGCUAACUCCGUG
RNAcentral lists this ribosomal RNA (433 nucleotides) under uncultured bacterium. RNAcentral's name for it is "partial 16S ribosomal RNA". It matches the Rfam family "Bacterial small subunit ribosomal RNA", at positions 29 to 507 of the family's 1533-position model. The record is from RNAcentral.